UGUGUAUAAAGUGGCGAACGGCUGAGUAACACGUGGGCAACCUGCCCUCCUCUUGGGGAUAGCCUCGGGAAACCGAGGAUAAUACCCGAUACUUCAAUGUGGCCGCAUGACGACAUUGAGAAAGCUUUUGCGGAGAAGGAUGGGCCCGCGGCCUGUUAGCUUGUUGGUGGGGUAGAGGCCUACCAAGGCAAUGAUGGGUAGCUGGGUUGAGAGACCGACCAGCCAGAUUGGGACUGAGACACGGCCCAGACUCCUACGGGAGGCAGCAGUGGGGAAUCUUGCACAAUGGGCGAAAGCCUGAUGCAGCGACGCCGCGUGCGGGAAGAAGGCCUUCGGGUUGUAAACCGCUUUCAGCAGGGACGAGGCGAUAAGUGACGGUACCUGCAGAAGAAGCCCCGGCUAACUACGUGCCAGCAGCCGCGGUAAUACGUAGGGGGCAAGCGUUAUCCGGAUUCAUUGGGCGUAAAGCGCUCGUAGCGCGGUCUGUUAGGUCGGGAGUUAAAUCGCGGAGGCUCAACCUCCGCCCGCUCCCGAUACCGGCAGACUUGAGUUUGGUAGGGGAAGGUGGAAUUCCUAGUGUAGCGGU
Molecule: ribosomal RNA, 586 nt
Filed under: uncultured Atopobium sp.
Lineage: Bacteria; Bacillati; Actinomycetota; Coriobacteriia; Coriobacteriales; Atopobiaceae
Description: bacterial SSU rRNA
Rfam family: Bacterial small subunit ribosomal RNA
Source: RNAcentral